AUACCAGCUGGCUGCAACUGUUUAUUAAAAACACAGCACUGUGCAAACACGAAAGUGGACGUAUACGGUGUGACGCCUGCCCGGUGCCGGAAGGUUAAUUGAUGGGGUUAUCCGUAAGGAGAAGCUCUUGAUCGAAGCCCCGGUAAACGGCGGCCGUAACUAUAACGGUCCUAAGGUAGCGAAAUUCCUUGUCGGGUAAGUUCCGACCUGCACGAAUGGCGUAAUGAUGGCCAGGCUGUCUCCACCCGAGACUCAGUGAAAUUGAACUCGCUGUGAAGAUGCAGUGUACCCGCGGCAAGACGGAAAGACCCCGUGAACCUUUACUAUAGCUUGACACUGAACACUGGUCCUUGAUGUGUAGGAUAGGUGGGAGGCUUUGAAGUGUGGACGCCAGUCUGCAUGGAGCCGCCCUUGAAAUACCACCCUUUAAUGGCUGGUGUUCUAACGUAGGCCCGUUACCCGGGUUGCGGACAGUGUCUGGUGGGUAGUUUGACUGGGGCGGUCUCCUCCUAAAGAGUAACGGAGGAGCACGAAGGUUAGCUAAUCCUGGUCGGACAUCAGGAGGUUAGUGCAAAGGCAUAAGCUAGCUUGACUGCGAGCGUGACGGCGCGAGCAGGUGCGAAAGCAGGUCUUAGUGAUCCGGUGGUUCUGAAUGGAAGGGCCAUCGCUCAACGGAUAAAAGGUACUCCGGGGAUAACAGGCUGAUACCGCCCAAGAGUUCAUAUCGACGGCGGUGUUUGGCACCUCGAUGUCGGCUCAUCACAUCCUGGGGCUGAAGUAGGUCCCAAGGGUAUGGCUGUUCGCCAUUUAAAGUGGUACGCGAGCUGGGUUUAGAACGUCGUGAGACAGUUCGGUCCCUAUCUGCCGUGGGCGCUGGAGAAUUGAGGGGGGCUGCUCCUAGUACGAGAGGACCGGAGUGGACGCAUCACUGGUGUUCGGGUUGUCAUGCCAAUGGCACUGCCCGGUAGCUAAAUGCGGAAGAGAUAAGUGCUGAAAGCAUCUAAGCACGAAACUUGCCCCGAGAUGAGUUCUCCCUGACCCUUAAAGGGUCCUGAAGGAACGUUGAAGACGACGACGUUGAUAGGCCGGGUGUGUAAGCGCAGCGAUGCGUUGAGCUAACCGGUACUAAUGAACCGUGAGGCUUAACCUUACAACGCCGAAG
RNAcentral lists this ribosomal RNA (1162 nucleotides) under Citrobacter freundii. RNAcentral describes it as "partial 23S ribosomal RNA". It matches the Rfam family "Bacterial large subunit ribosomal RNA", at positions 1783 to 2925 of the family's 2925-position model. Lineage: Bacteria; Pseudomonadati; Pseudomonadota; Gammaproteobacteria; Enterobacterales; Enterobacteriaceae. The record is from RNAcentral.